Molecule: non-coding RNA, 39 nt
Filed under: Palpitomonas bilix
Lineage: Eukaryota
Source: RNAcentral
UUCUUCUUUGCUCCCUUUCUCCUUUGCUCCCUUGAUCAA